RNAcentral lists this ribosomal RNA (256 nucleotides) under uncultured bacterium. Its description in RNAcentral is "partial 16S ribosomal RNA". It matches the Rfam family "Bacterial small subunit ribosomal RNA", at positions 107 to 354 of the family's 1533-position model. The record is from RNAcentral.
UGAGUAACACGUGAGUGACCUGCCUUUUAGACUGGAACAACUUACCGAAAGGUGAGCUAAGUGCCGGAUGAGGUUAUAUAAGUGCAUGUUUAUAUAGGAAAAGUUGGGGAGACCUGACGCUGAAAGAUGGACUCGCGUCCCAUUAGCUAGUUGGUAGGGUAAUGGCCUACCAAGGCGACGAUGGGUAGCCGGCCUGAGAGGGUGGCCGGCCACACUGGGACUGAGACACGGCCCAGACUCCUACGGAAGGCAGCAG